GGCCCCAUCGUCUAAUGGUUUAGGACGCCACCCUUUCACGGUGGAAAUACGGGUUCGAAUCCCGUUGGGGUCACCA
This 76-nucleotide transfer RNA is filed under the name Rickettsiales bacterium. RNAcentral's name for it is "tRNA-Glu". It matches the Rfam family "tRNA". From Rfam's summary of the family: Transfer RNA (tRNA) molecules are approximately 80 nucleotides in length. Their secondary structure includes four short double-helical elements and three loops (D, anti-codon, and T loops). The record is from RNAcentral. Lineage: Bacteria; Pseudomonadati; Pseudomonadota; Alphaproteobacteria; Rickettsiales.